This 406-nucleotide ribosomal RNA is filed under the name uncultured bacterium. RNAcentral describes it as "partial 16S ribosomal RNA". It matches the Rfam family "Bacterial small subunit ribosomal RNA", at positions 30 to 526 of the family's 1533-position model. The record is from RNAcentral.
AUUGAACGCUGGCGGCAGGCCUAACACAUGCAAGUCGAGCGAGCGGCGGACGGGUGAGUCAUGUCAGGCAGACUGCCUGAUGGAGGGGGCUACCUACAGGAAACGCUAGCUACUCCUGCAUACCAUCAGGUGUACCCCGAUUGGAUUAGUUAGUAGGUGGGGUAACGGCCCAACUAGGCGACGAUCCCUAGCUGGUCUGAGAGGAUGACCAGCAACACUGGAACUGAGACACGGUCCAGACUCCUACGGGAGGCAGCAGUGGGGAAUAUUGAACAAUGGGCGCAAGCCUGAUGCAUCCAGGGCGCGUGUGUGAAGAAGGCCUUCGGGUUGUAAAGCACUUUCAGCGGGGAGGCGUUACCCGCAGAAGAAGCACCGGCUAACUCCGUGCCAGCAGCCGCGGUAAUAC